RNAcentral lists this ribosomal RNA (878 nucleotides) under Escherichia coli. Its description in RNAcentral is "bacterial LSU rRNA". It matches the Rfam family "Bacterial large subunit ribosomal RNA", at positions 312 to 1194 of the family's 2925-position model. Lineage: Bacteria; Pseudomonadati; Pseudomonadota; Gammaproteobacteria; Enterobacterales; Enterobacteriaceae. The record is from RNAcentral.
CUGAAUCAGUAUGUGUGUUAGUGGAAGCGUCUGGAAAGGCGCGCGAUACAGGGUGACAGCCCCGUACACAAAAAUGCACAUGCUGUGAGCUCGAUGAGUAGGGCGGGACACGUGGUAUCCUGUCUGAAUAUGGGGGGACCAUCCUCCAAGGCUAAAUACUCCUGACUGACCGAUAGUGAACCAGUACCGUGAGGGAAAGGCGAAAAGAACCCCGGCGAGGGGAGUGAAAAAGAACCUGAAACCGUGUACGUACAAGCAGUGGGAGCACGCUUAGGCGUGUGACUGCGUACCUUUUGUAUAAUGGGUCAGCGACUUAUAUUCUGUAGCAAGGUUAACCGAAUAGGGGAGCCGAAGGGAAACCGAGUCUUAACUGGGCGUUAAGUUGCAGGGUAUAGACCCGAAACCCGGUGAUCUAGCCAUGGGCAGGUUGAAGGUUGGGUAACACUAACUGGAGGACCGAACCGACUAAUGUUGAAAAAUUAGCGGAUGACUUGUGGCUGGGGGUGAAAGGCCAAUCAAACCGGGAGAUAGCUGGUUCUCCCCGAAAGCUAUUUAGGUAGCGCCUCGUGAAUUCAUCUCCGGGGGUAGAGCACUGUUUCGGCAAGGGGGUCAUCCCGACUUACCAACCCGAUGCAAACUGCGAAUACCGGAGAAUGUUAUCACGGGAGACACACGGCGGGUGCUAACGUCCGUCGUGAAGAGGGAAACAACCCAGACCGCCAGCUAAGGUCCCAAAGUCAUGGUUAAGUGGGAAACGAUGUGGGAAGGCCCAGACAGCCAGGAUGUUGGCUUAGAAGCAGCCAUCAUUUAAAGAAAGCGUAAUAGCUCACUGGUCGAGUCGGCCUGCGCGGAAGAUGUAACGGGGCUAAACCAUGCAC